Non-coding RNA from Agelaius phoeniceus (red-winged blackbird), 3365 nucleotides. The record is from RefSeq and is a predicted model, not a curated record. Lineage: Eukaryota; Metazoa; Chordata; Aves; Passeriformes; Icteridae.
CGGGCAGGACGCGGCGCACGGGACUACAAGUCCCGAGGAGCGCUGGGCGCUGCUCUUCCGGGCCGGGCGGCGGGGGGCAGCAGGCCCGGGCGCGAUGUGCCGGGACCGGGCACCGGCGCUGCGGCCGCCGCCGCCGCUGGGAGAGCAAGCUUCCCAUGACUAACAGAUGCUGGCCUAGAUUAUGAGCUCAAACAAGAGCGCUCGCUACAAUCGUUUCUCCAGUGGCACCACAAGCAUCACUACUGCUGAGAGCUCUAACGGGACAAGAAUGGAAACAACUUUUGGACCAGCCUUCUCUGCUGUGACCACCAUCACAAAGGCUGACGGGACCAACACUUUCAAGCAGCACCGUCGGACCCCGUCCUCCUCCAGCACCCUCACCUACUCCCCACGGGACGAGGAUGAUGGCAUGCCUCCCAUCAGCACCCCGCGCCGCUCCGACUCCGCCAUCUCCGUCCGCUCCUUGCACUCCGAGUCCAACAUGUCCCUGCGCUCCACGUUCUCACUCCAUGAGGAAGAGGAGGAGCCAGAGCCCCUGGUGUUUGCAGAGCAGCCCUCUGUGAAGCUGUGCUGCCAGCUGUGCUGCAGUGUCUUUAAGGAUCCCGUCAUCACAACCUGUGGGCACACGUUUUGCAGGAGAUGUGCCUUAACAUCUGAGAAGUGCCCCGUGGACAACGCCAAGCUGACGGUGGUGGUGAACAACAUCGCGGUGGCCGAGCAGAUUGGGGAGCUCUUCAUCCACUGCAAGUACGGCUGCCGGCCUGCUGCCAGCAGCAAGAACCCUGCCUUCGAGGUGGACCCCCGUGGCUGCCCCUUCACCAUCAAACUCAGUGCCAGGAAGGAUCAUGAGAGCAGCUGUGAUUACAGGCCCGUGCGCUGCCCCAACAACCCCAGCUGCCCUCCCCUCCUCAAAAUGAACCUGGAGGCUCACCUGAAGGAGUGUGAGCACAUCAAGUGUCCUCACUCCAAAUAUGGGUGUGCAUUCAUAGGAAACCAGGACACCUACGAGACCCACCUGGAGACGUGCAAGUUCGAGGGGCUGAAGGAGUUCCUGCAGCAGACGGACGAUCGCUUCCACGAGAUGCAGGUGGCCAUGGCCCAGAAGGACCAGGAGAUCGCCUUCCUGCGCUCCAUGCUGGGCAAACUCUCUGAGAAAAUCGACCAGCUGGAGAAGAACCUGGAGCUGAAGUUUGAUGUGCUGGAUGAGAACCAGAGCAAGCUGAGCGAGGACCUGAUGGAAUUCCGCAGGGACGCCUCCAUGCUGAACGAUGAGCUCUCCCACAUCAACGCUCGGCUCAACAUGGGCAUCCUUGGAUCCUAUGAUCCUCAGCAGAUCUUCAAGUGCAAGGGGACCUUUGUGGGCCACCAGGGCCCCGUGUGGUGUUUGUGUGUGUACUCCAUAGGAGACUUGCUCUUCAGUGGCUCCUCAGACAAAACCAUUAAGGUGUGGGAUACCUGUACCACUUACAAGUGCCAAAAGACCCUGGAGGGUCACGAUGGAAUUGUGCUGGCUCUCUGCAUCCAGGGGAACAAGCUGUACAGUGGCUCUGCUGACUGCACCAUCAUUGUCUGGGAUAUUCAGAACCUGCAGAAGGUGAACACGAUCCGAGCACACGACAAUCCUGUUUGCACUUUGGUCUCCUCACACAACAUGCUCUUCAGUGGCUCCCUCAAAGCCAUCAAGGUGUGGGAUAUUGUGGGAACUGAGCUCAAGCUGAAGAAGGAGCUGACAGGUCUCAACCACUGGGUCCGAGCACUGGUGGCUUCCCAGAACUAUCUGUACAGUGGAUCCUACCAGACCAUCAAGAUCUGGGACAUCCGGAACCUGGAGUGUGUGCACGUGCUGCAGACGUCGGGAGGCAGCGUCUACUCCAUCGCCGUGACCAACCACCACAUCGUGUGUGGCACCUACGAGAACCUCAUCCACGUGUGGGACAUCGAGACCAAGGAGCAGGUGCGCACGCUGACCGGGCACGUGGGCACAGUCUACGCCCUUGCCGUCAUCUCCACGCCCGAUCAAACCAAAGUCUUCAGCGCGUCCUACGACCGCUCGCUCAGGGUGUGGAGCAUGGACAACAUGAUCUGCACCCAGACCCUGCUGCGCCACCAGGGCAGUGUCACCGCCCUGGCCGUGUCCCGCGGCCGCCUCUUCUCCGGCGCCGUGGACAGCACUGUAAAGGUCUGGACGUGCUAACGAGAGCGUCACACGAGUCCUGCACACUGAAAGACCAAAAACUCUCCCUUCCAUCGGCCUGUGGGUGACCACACCACUGAAACGACUGCUGCAGCUCCUCCUGCACCGACCACUGCCUGCUGCUGCUGCCCCUCGGCCGGCGGCUCUCCGGACGGCUCUGCCCCACGGACGCUCCAGGUGUUCCCUCACAUCUGCCCCAGAUGAUUGGAAAAGAGGAAGCUCUUCCAGUGCCAGUGCCCUCCUCUGCCUGUGUCCCCCCGGCUGGGGACACCCCCAGGCUGGGGCUGGGGUGACACUGGGCCUGGGGGCUCAGUGCCAGUGCCAGGACUGGACAGAUCCGUGUGUCUGCUGGGCACAGGCUGGGCCCCUGUCCGUGGCAGGACUGAGCUUUAGGCUGUACCCUGGGUGGGCACCCGAACCCUUUCUGUCUCUAGUAUUUAAUUUACUGCCAAGGCGCCGGGCCGAUCCAGCUGGGAAGAGGUGUUUCCUUGAGUAGCCAGAAAUUUCAAAGUUGUGCCAAACACAUCUGGAUCAGCGACCACAACAGGAGAGACGGGGGAGAGACAGGGAAGGGAGGGAGAGGGAAGGAGGGAGAGACCACUCCACGUCUCGAGAGAAAGAAAGGAACAGCAACACUUUUGUUUGGAAACCACAAGCAAAAAAUGCAUUCAUCAGGACUCAAGCGACUGAACCAGACUCCAACUCCAGUUUGUACAGGAAUAUACAGCGGAGCAUCCCGCGGGACGCACCGGGCACACGCACCCCGCGUGCACACCCACGCACACCCACACGCACCCAGACACAGACCGACAGCAAAAGCGAGGGAAAGAAACCGAACCAAACCCUGAAGACACUCCAAAAGAAAUGAAACACCUCCGGUGUGAGAAUUAACAAAAACCUCCAUAAAACAAGGCACAUCCUUUGAGUUCGUAACGGUGGAAAAAGAAAGACGCGACACUGAAUCCCAACGGAAAACCCGACCAGAACCGCUCGCACGUACCUUCCACCCAGAGAAAAGCUUAUCACCGUCCUGUCCCCAGGCGGGGAGGGGCCGGGCAGGGGCACGUCCCGCUGCCCCCAGGGCCACCGCCAGCCUUGCCCGCCCCCGCCAACGCCGACCGAGAAAAGAAAACAAAAUUUAAAAAUCAAAAUAAAAAACGGAGCAAAGAAA